Long non-coding RNA from Hyaena hyaena (striped hyena), 877 nucleotides. RefSeq lists it as uncharacterized. Lineage: Eukaryota; Metazoa; Chordata; Mammalia; Carnivora; Hyaenidae. The record is from RefSeq and is a predicted model, not a curated record. The transcript is spliced from 3 exons.
AAGGCCGGAGGGAGGGGUGCGCGGUGAGGAGAAACUACGAGGUAAAACUACGACUCCCAGAAGGCCCCUGGCUGCGUGCCGCCGGCGCGUGCGCACUCCGAAGGCCGGGCACAGGGGAGGCGAGCGCCGGAAGACUUAGCCCUGGAGCCGCACUGGGGGGACGCCCAGGCGGGUGCCAGUGUGCCUAGCAGUCUCCACCUGCCCAGUGACCAUGAUAGGCUACUGCAUGAUUGAUUGAGAAAACCUGGCAGGCCCAAGUCAAGGAGUGUUUAUAAUGCCUGAAGCCUUGCUCAGAAAACUUCAAGGCAAUUUAAUUUGGAACCAGGUUUCAAGUCAUCCCACAGUGCUUGAUGAUGGCUUUCCAUGACUGACAGCUGUUCUCCAAAUGUCAUUAUUUUGAGGAAAGAGUUUGAAAAGGCCAGUUCUUUGACUCCCAAAGGCCUGAUAUUGCUUGCCAAAUGUCAACUCAGAGAUGGGGUAUCUAUACUGGGGAUGUGUCCCCUUAAAGAAGUGCCAUCAGAUUCCACUUGAUUAAGGCCUCUUCUGACGUCAGCAGUGGGGAUUCAGGCCCAGAAUGAUGGGACUGGGCCCGCAGUCUUGGAUGUGCGUCUACAGAAUUACAAGCACAAGGGGUAUCGCCAUUCGGUUGUGUCUAAAAUCUUCCUCUGAGGGAGCAAGGAUAUCUUCAGAGGCAUCACUUGAAGGGCUGAGCAGGGGAGAAGACAGUUUAUAUCGGCAACCGACGUGAAAUCCUGGUCUUUCUGUGUUCCACAUGCACCCCGCAGCCCACUGUAAGCACCCCACUAGUACUUGUCUGCCCUCUGGCUGGCUUACGGAGGGCUACCAUCACAAACAUUAAGAAAUUAGAACUUCUUAC